RNAcentral lists this ribosomal RNA (481 nucleotides) under uncultured bacterium. Its description in RNAcentral is "partial 16S ribosomal RNA". It matches the Rfam family "Bacterial small subunit ribosomal RNA", at positions 28 to 507 of the family's 1533-position model. The record is from RNAcentral.
GACGAACGUUGGCGGCGUGCUUAAUACAUGCAAGUCAACUGAAGCAGUGGUAGCAAUAUCGCUGUGGAGGUGGCGCACGGGUGAGUAACACGUAGGUAAUCUGCCUUCAGGUCUGGCAUAACUCCGGGAAACCGGGGCUAAUAGCAGAUGAUGCAGCGGCUCGACAUCGAGACAGUUGUUAAAGCUAUGGCGCCUGAAGAUGAGCCUGCGUCUGAUUAGCUAGUUGGCGGGGUAACGGCCCCCCAAGGCAACGAUCAGUGGCUGGUCUGGGAGGCUGAUCAGCCACACGGGAACUGAGACACGGUCCAAACUACGACGGGGGGCAGCAGUAAGGAAAAGUGCGCAAUGGGAGAAAUCCUGAAGCAGCAACGCCGCGAGAGGGACGAAGGGCUUGUGCUUGUAAACCGCGGUAGUGAGAGAAAAAAAUCCCAAUCAUGGGGACGUGAUGGUAACGCAAAAGUAAGCCCCGGCUAACUACGUG